AUUUAGAACCAUUUGAAUGAUGUCAUUGAAUAGCAGCAUUUCUUUUUUCAUUUUUUUGCCUGUGAAUCUGUGAGAGUGAGAUAUUAAAGUCUUCCACUGUUGCGGGAAAUAAUAAAAAAUGAUCCUGCCAACUCUCCUGCCCCAGAGGGGUUCCAGCUCUAGCACUGGUGGGCCACAACACUGUGUCCUGGCAGGGUACCGCUCACAAGGUCUCUGAGAGACUCUCUCCCAGCUAGCCCCCGCUGUGUUUGUUCCAUCACCACUAGUUCUUCUUCAUCCAUAAAUCUAUAUAGUUGGAGAUCACAUAUUCCAGUAACUACAUGGGACCGCCAACCUCGCGGUUACAUCUCACAACCCAAUACCCCAGUAGAAUCAAGACUCUGUAGUUAACCAACUAGAUUUAUAUAUCAAUAAAAUCUCAAUUUACAAAAUGCCAAUAAAGAAUUUCAGAGCCAGUUGGUAAUGAUAAAACUUUACCCCAAUAUUUCUAAACUUAUGAAAUCAUAGCUACUUGUGGCUAGUAAUUGCCACAGGAGUUCACAGUCUGCGGUCUUGGUUCUUCUCCCUACCCUCUGGGAUACUCCCUCUCUGCAAUUCUUAGCUCAACCCCACUUUGCCCUGUCCAUUCACAGACCUCUGCACUAAUGUAAUUGGACAGGGAACAUCCUGCAACAUUCCACAGUCACUCUGUUGGGGUCAAUCUGUGGUUUUUAGAUCUAAUGUUUUCUUUAUGAAAUGUGAUGCCCUGUGUUUUGGUGUAUAUAGACCUAGAGUUGUAAUAUUCUGUUGGUGGGUUUCUCUUUUACUAAAAAUGAACUGAUAGUCCUUAUGUCUUCUUCCUAGUUUUUGUUUGAAGUCUGUGGUCUUGAAUAUUAGAAUAGCAAUGCUGCUGGUUCUUAGUCCCACUUCUUUGGAAUUCCUUUGUCCAUGCUUUUACUCUAAGGUGUUCUCUGUCAUUACUGGUGAAGUGUGGUUUUGGAGGAAGCAAAAGUAUGGAUGUUGUUAUCUAAUUCAGUCUGAUAGUCAGUGUGGUUUUGUUGAAGAAUUGAAAUAGUAUUUAGUUAUUAUUGAAAGGAGUGUCUGCUCCUGUCAUUUUUGUUGGUGUUGUGUUUUCUUGGACCUCUUUAUUCUGUGUCCUGCUAUUCAUUUUUUUCCUAUGACUUCUUGUGUGUCUUUACCCUUUUCAGUUGAAGGAUUCCUUUUAGGAUCUUUUGUAGAGCUUGUUUAGUAGUCAAAACUUACUUUAAUCUCUUUUUAACAUAAAAAGUUUUCUUUUUCCUUCAGUUUCCAACUAGAACAAUUAAACAUCUGUGCCUUUCAUACUUAGUCCUCACCUGGCAAUAAAAUGACCACUUCUUUUUAGGGCAGAAAUUUAUUAAUAGAAAGAAAUAUCUGACAUGUCCCUAGUUGUAAACAACCAAAUAUGUCCUGUGUUUCUUUCAUUUAAACAUAAUCUUUUCAGGCAGCAUUUAUAGCUUCAUUUGUCAAAAAUAUAUUUCUUUCAGCCAGAUUAAUAACCUCUCUGAGCAUAUUUUAUUAUUUGACACAUAUAUCCUCUUGGCAGAAGUUAGCUUUCUGAAUGAACUCCCCUGGGGAGUUUUGCUAAUCUUAGAGGAGAGAGACAUGAAACCAAACACCAGAAGACAGAAAACUUUGGAUAGUUUCUGUGGGACCACUAGUACACCUGUAUACCGUAACCAGCACACUUAAUGGAUACAGGAGCAUUCAUGUUCAGGCAACUGAAGGAAGACACAUCCCACCUCCUCCAAAUACCAUGUGUUGCGGCCGCCAGCAGCUCGCAACGUGAAUGGUUCGACUGAUAUGGCUACUCGAGCUGUAAGAGAGGAAUCUAGAUGGGGCGAAAGAAGAAACGGAGCUAAGACAAAUUCAUUCUGAUCAAAGCUCAAAUUUUAUUGUUGCGACACUAGUUAUGAAGGAAGGGGGAGGGGACCCGAUUCCCACCGAAUAAUCUCUGGUCCAGUAGAAAGGUGAGCAUGAGUGUGGCUCCGAACAGCAAAGCGGCAGGUUCCAGCAGUAGGCGUGGCAGAACGAAUGAGCAGGAAGCUCCACCCCUGAGCAGGCAGGUUUCAGGCUGGGGAAGGGGAGACUACACCAUGUCCCUUCCAUCCCUUGUCUUUUCCUUGCAGCCUGAAUCAAUUCUCUCAGCUCUGACUUUGAGGCCCCUCAUCCCCAUUAUUUUCAGAGCUUGACUGACUGACAUUCAGCGUCAUUUAUGGUAGAGGUGUUCCUUGGAUGCUCAGUAUUGUUGCCAGUAAAAUAAAUAUCAUAAUUUGCCACUUCAUAUGAUCUCAACGUGGGUUGGGGGUAGUAGUCUUAUAGGCCUACCCCAGCUCAGUAUCUAAUGGCAUUGAAUAGCUGCUGUGACAGGAUAGUUUUCUUCAAUGGUUUGACCCCUGUACCAUCAACUCCAGUGCAGCCUUCACAUCCAACACAAAUUAGGCAACACAAUUUUGACUUUAUGGGUGUUAAAAAGAGAGAGAACUCUAAUUUUGGGUAAAUCAGAAGGUGGGAUGUAUCCAGGAAAAUUUGGGAAGGAGGAUAAAUGUGAUAUAAAAAAUACAUUGUAUCAAAUUCUCAAAGAAUACACGAAAAUAUGUAAAAAUUCUGUCUACUUUAAAGAGUAAUUAGAAAGAUCAAGAUCAUAGCUAUGCCAAAGACACUUUCUUAAUUGCACAUUGCUACAGAAAUGUCAGGUAUAAUGAAUCCCUUUGUCUCAGGCAAAGUACUUUGUAUUUAUUAUUUGAGUUUCUGUCUUGACAGUUCCUUGUCAAGCAGCAAAUGUAAAGUACUGAUUCGUUGUUUUUGUUGCUGUUUUGUUUGUUUUGUUUUCAUGCUUGUCUACAGGGCUCCUGCAACUUAAUAGUAUAGACUAAAUCUUUAAGUUCUCCUACACCUCUUAUCUCUUCCCUGAACACCCAGUCAUGAUAAUAAUCUGUAAAACCCUAGGAUAAUUAUUUCUUUUAAUUCCCAAGAGUUCAUCAUUUGCUAAGUUCCAAAUGUAUUCACUUAGGCACUUGUCUUAAAAUGCUUCUCCAUUAAUUCCACAGAGCCGAAACUGUGUGAAGCUGGGCCCUCCUGCGGAGGGAGAAGUCAUCCAAGUCAAAUGGCCUGAUGGUAAACUCUAUGGGGCAAAGUAUCUUGGAUCAAAUGUUGCCUAUAUGUAUCAGGUGGGUGCUACUCUCUCUGUGCUGUUUGUUGAGAAAGACAGGAUAUACCAGAGGGAGAUAACAUGAGUAUGCUAUGGAUCAAAAAGCCACUUGAAUUUUGUUCUUUCCCUUAAAUUUUGUGAAAGAGGCAAAAUGUCAUUGUCUAGCAGCCUGGGUUUCAACUUACAGUUUAGCAACUUAUAGUUUAGUUGCCGGAUUGGACACUGAGAACCCCUAACAAUUGGUAAAUGGUUAGUUCACUAUAUGGUUCAACUGCUAGAUAGUAGGCUCUUUCCCCUGUGUUUUCAUUAUGAGAGUUGGUUUAUCUCACCUUAAGCCAGAACAUGGAGCUUGGGUUAUUAUAGCUCAGCAGUAGAACACUUGCUUUGCAUAUACAAGGCACAGAACUACAGGAAUCAGAUAGAUAGAUAGAUAGAUAGAUAGAUAGAUAGAUAGAUAGGAAUCAGAUAGAUAGAUAGAAAGAAAGGAAUCAGAUAGAU
Molecule: long non-coding RNA, 3667 nt
Filed under: Mus musculus (house mouse)
Lineage: Eukaryota; Metazoa; Chordata; Mammalia; Rodentia; Muridae
Description: long non-coding RNA chr4:74388308-74391975
Source: RNAcentral